CGCCCGCCGCGCGCGGCGGGCGGGGCGGGGGCACGGGGGGCCUACGGGAGGCAGCAGUGGGGAAUUUUGGACAAUGGGGGAAACCCUGAUCCAGCAAUGCCGCGUGUGCGAAGAAGGCCUUCGGGUUGUAAAGCACUUUUGUCAGGGAAGAAAUCCUUUGGGCUAAUACCCUAGGGGGAUGACGGUACCUGAAGAAUAAGCACCGGCUAACUACGUGCCAGCAGCCGCGGUAAUACGUAGGGUGCAAGCGUUAAUCGGAAUUACUGGGCGUAAAGCGUGCGCAGGCGGUUGUGUAAGACAGGUGUGAAAUCCCCGGGCUUAACCUGGGAAUUGCAUUUGUGACUGCACGACUAGAGUGUGUCAGAGGGGGGUGGAAUUCCACGUGUAGCAGUGAAAUGCGUAGAUAUGUGGAGGAACACCAAUGGCGAAGGCAGCCCCCUGGGAUAACACUGACGCUCAUGCACGAAAGCGUGGGGAGCAAACAGGAUUAGAUACCCUGGUAGUCCACGCCCUAAACGAUGUCAACUAGUUGUUGGGGAUUUACUUCCUUGGUAACGUAGCUAACGCGUGAAGUUGACCGCCUGGGGAGUACGGCCGCAAGGUUAAAACUCAAAGGAAUUGAC
RNAcentral lists this ribosomal RNA (623 nucleotides) under Limnobacter sp. Aph2. Its description in RNAcentral is "bacterial SSU rRNA". It matches the Rfam family "Bacterial small subunit ribosomal RNA", at positions 284 to 914 of the family's 1533-position model. The record is from RNAcentral. Lineage: Bacteria; Pseudomonadati; Pseudomonadota; Betaproteobacteria; Burkholderiales; Burkholderiaceae.